AUACCAAGGACAGUGGACAGGUGGCAUGCGGCAUGGCUACGGAAUCAGAAACAGCGUUCCGUAUGGCAUGGCUUCCAUCGUUAGACCAUCAUUGCGAACAUCCCUCACGUCGUUACGGAGCGAGCACGAAAACGGUUCCAUCGCGAGCUCGCCAGAAAACUUUGGGCAGCGGGGAGGGUUCGCAAUGGACGUUUCCGACGACUGCACCUCGGAUUUGGAAAGCAACAAAAGUGCCACACUGAGGCGGAACGAGACCUCACGCAGGAGUAGGACACUCAUGGGUGGGUUUAGGAGCAAGCGUAGGAAAGACAAAAACAAAAACAGGGAUUCUUUGGUAGAAAGUGGGGGCAGUGUGGCUUCUCUAAGACACAACCUUAAACACCAAGACUCACUAAAGAGUAAUGAAAGUACUAUGAGCACCAGUUCUGUGCAAUCAUCGUGUUUUGAGAGUGACAUGGGUCACAUGCAUGAAGAGGAGGCUUCACACGAUGUGACGGAGGUGUACAUGGGGGAGUGGAAGCAAGACAAGAGGGCUGGCUAUGGUACAAGUCAAAGAUCCGAUGGCUAUCAUUACGCAGGAGAGUGGCACAACAAUAAGAGACACGGCUACGGCUCAUUGAUAUACCCCAAUGGCCAGAAGGAGGAAGGAAAAUGGAAACAGAAUUUGUUAGUUGCAUCAGGAAAAAAGAAACUCUUUGUUAUUGGAUCAAAAAAGAUAAGUGAGCGGGUAGAGCAUGCUGUGGAGUUAGCCGGACAGGCUGCUAACCUUGCCAGAGCUAAGGCUGACCUGGCAAUAUCUAGGGCUGCAUAUGCCAAGGAGAAGGCUGAGAUGUCUGAUGUAGAAGCAUCGGAAGCUCGGGAGGAGUCUAUCAAGGCUAGGGCUAGGGCCAAAGAUCUUGCUUCAACAUUACCACCAAGAGGGGAAGGUGGUGACAUCAAGCUGGACAGGAAAAAGAGCUUCUUUGGUCGUCACUUAGGUGGCUUUGAUCGUAAGAAUCGGAUGAGAGGCACUAUCGUCAAAUCUCGAUCUGGAAGCCGGUCAGAACGUGGCGAGGGCUCCCAUCCCUCAUCUCAAUCCAGCGACCGUUCCAUUCCAAGUGGACUGUCCAAUGAAUGGGAUGGUCGUGGGGCCAGUCCACAGAACGACAGUCAGAUGAGAGAGGCUAGGUCUACAGGGAACCUCUGUGAUGGUAGUCCAGUUCCCAGGAGGCAUCGGGGAACCCUGGACAGGAUGGGCAACUCUCAACAGAGCAACCCUUCAGACUCCAGUCCUCAAAUGGACAGAAGGAUGCUCAGUAUGAGGGAGUAUCAUCAGAGAGAAUACCAUAGCAUGGAUGAGAGGUAUGGACCUGAUGGUAGAGAAUACCAUAUGGACAGGAACAGGCACUACAGCGACAGGUCCUUGACAGAUCUCACUCCUGAUUCAGGGAUCAGCACAACGUCAGAUUCUGACCGACUGAGACGGGAAGCCAUCAGAUCCAAUCACAGGAAAGCACCACCAAGAAGACAACUCACCAGACAAGAGGGCUUGGAUGAUGCUUAUCACAGUAGUCAUGGUGACCAUCAUGACCGCUAUGAUCACUACAACGACAGAGACUACAGAGACGACUACUACGACGACGAUACACCGUAUAACAAGUAUGACAACAAGUUUGACAAGGAAGACGAGGAUCCAUACCUCCAUGACCACAUGGUUGAAGAGGAGGAUCCAGAGAAACUAAAGCAGCAGCACUUGAAGCAGAAGAAGAAGAUUAAGAUCACUGAACUAGCCACCAAGGUAGAUGCUGCUCCUCCUGGUCAUUACAGGACGUUCCAGGGGAGGUUCCCAGCAACGUGUGGUAUCAAGUACCAACCUAAACCAGAAGGAGAGGAGGAUGAUGUCAGAGAUCCAGAGCUAGAUGGAGAGGGAGCUCUAGUUGUACAUUCUGCAAAAAUGAACUGGGCUGCAAGCAAAGGUCUAACCGUUCUAGUCCUGGUGCUCAACGUAGGCUUCACAGUCCUAUUCACCAGUCUCUUCUUACAGAUGGAAGAAGAAGGCAACUGGGACAGCUGGCCCUAGCCCUGGUCCUGGUCUUACCUCUAGUCCUCAAAACACAAACAUGUACAUAUUGCUUGUUUCUUCAGUCAUCUUGAGUUUCUGCUUGUCUGUGUUGGUGUGAUGAUGACAGGAAGCAUGGCCUUAAUUUAUUUAUUUUGAAGCCCUGAACGAGUUGCAGCAAUCGUCUUUGGCCUUGAAUUGUAGCGCCUCUUUCACCUUGCAUGAUCUGUAUAUACACAAACUUUGCGUAUUGUUUCUAAGGAGCACUCCCAUAGAUGAACAAAUAGAGGAUACAUUGAUGCAGAAGGAGCUGGGCUUCUUAUCAGUUACACAAUUAAGAUCCAGGAAACAUUUUACUUGGAGGUAUAGCGUACUCUAGUAGAAGUUACAAAGGAGCAGGAAUCCUGAAAAUUGCAAGCAAACUUUGGAUAAAGGAGCAAGGGGGCUUGAUGUUGCAUGCUGCACAUAUUUACUUAUACCUGGUCUGCCAGCAAGGGCCUUAUUCUGUUAGUCCUGGUCCUGAACGUUGGCUUUACGGUUCUCUUCACAAGCCUGUUCCUACAAAUAGAAGAAGAAGGAGAAUGGGAGAACUGGCCCUGACACUCACAAGACCAUUAGAACUGAUGAAGUACCAAACAAGUAUGUCGGUCCAUCUUGUAGCCGAGCUAAGACCAUCUUCAGGAUAGACUAUCACAAGUGAUCAAGCGCGAGAAUGAGAAUCUUGUAUUCUAGUUACAGGUUUACAUUGGAACUUGAAAACGUAGGAUGAAGACUUACUGAGGAACAUGAUAUCAGAGUACUAUUUGUAUGCUCUCUCAUCAGAGAAUACAUCAUCCUUGUUGCAACAUUCAUUUAUUUGUUUCAUUCAUUCUUUUAUUAACAUUUUUAAGAAUCAUCUAAAACAUACAGUGCUUUAUCUGAAAUAUGUGUUUCAUGAAUGUAACACAUGUAAUAGUAAAUAAGACUUUAAGGAAAUUCACUAGUUGGAAAUGUUGGGACAUACUGAAAAGCUUAUAAUUGAAUUAAAACUUUAUCCAAACAGAUGUCCUGUGACAUUGACCAAUCCUGAUCUGCCACUAAGUUAGAGCAGUAUCAGUGAUUCUGAUUGGCUGUACUG
RNA transcript from Strongylocentrotus purpuratus (purple sea urchin), 3155 nucleotides. It is a transcript of the gene named junctophilin-1, with no coding region annotated. The record is from RefSeq and is a predicted model, not a curated record. Lineage: Eukaryota; Metazoa; Echinodermata; Echinoidea; Camarodonta; Strongylocentrotidae. The transcript has 5 exons.